CAUGCCUUACACAUGCAAGUCGAACGGCAGCAUGAUCUAGCUUGCUAGAUUGAUGGCGAGUGGCGAACGGGUGAGUAAUACAUCGGAACGUGCCCUGUAGUGGGGGAUAACUAGUCGAAAGAUUAGCUAAUACCGCAUACGACCUGAGGGUGAAAGUGGGGGACCGCAAGGCCUCAUGCUAUAGGAGCGGCCGAUGUCUGAUUAGCUAGUUGGUGAGGUAAAGGCUCACCAAGGCGACGAUCAGUAGCUGGUCUGAGGGGACGAUCAGCCACACUGGGACUGAGACACGGCCCAGACUCCUACGGGAGGCAGCAGUGGGGAAUUUUGGACAAUGGGCGAAAGCCUGAUCCAGCAAUGCCGCGUGUGUGAAGAAGGCCUUCGGGUUGUAAAGCACUUUUGUCCGGAAAGAAAUGGCUCUGGUUAAUACCUGGGGUCGAUGACGGUACCGGAAGAAUAAGGACCGGCUAACUACGUGCCAGCAGCCGCGGUAAUACGUAGGGUCCAAGCGUUAAUCGGAAUUACUGGGCGUAAAGCGUGCGCAGGCGGUUGUGCAAGACCGAUGUGAAAUCCCCGAGCUUAACUUGGGAAUUGCAUUGGUGACUGCACGGCUAGAGUGUGUCAGAGGGGGGUAGAAUUCCACGUGUAGCAGUGAAAUGCGUAGAGAUGUGGAGGAAUACCGAUGGCGAAGGCAGCCCCCUGGGAUAACACUGACGCUCAUGCACGAAAGCGUGGGGAGCAAACAGGAUUAGAUACCCUGGUAGUCCACGCCCUAAACGAUGUCAACUAGUUGCUGGGGAUUCAUUUCCUUAGUAACGUAGCUAACGCGUGAAGUUGACCGCCUGGGGAGUACGGUCGCAAGAUUAAAACUCAAAGGAAUUGACGGGGACCCGCACAAGCGGUGGAUGAUGUGGAUUAAUUCGAUGCAACGCGAAAAACCUUACCUACCCUUGACAUGCCACUAACGAAGCAGAGAUGCAUUAGUGCUCG
This 987-nucleotide ribosomal RNA is filed under the name uncultured bacterium. RNAcentral's name for it is "bacterial SSU rRNA". It matches the Rfam family "Bacterial small subunit ribosomal RNA", at positions 43 to 1020 of the family's 1533-position model. The record is from RNAcentral.